Cyanistes caeruleus (blue tit) is the source of this 335-nucleotide long non-coding RNA. RefSeq lists it as uncharacterized. Lineage: Eukaryota; Metazoa; Chordata; Aves; Passeriformes; Paridae. The record is from RefSeq and is a predicted model, not a curated record.
CUUGAUAGCAGCCUAAUCCCCAGUGAGUUGGAAAAAACAGAUCUGACAAUCAUCUCAACAGCUAGAGGCAGUUUUCUGAAGACUUUCUAGCCUCCAGGCAAUGGCAAAUCCUUCUGUAACAACUUACACAGCUUGAAACUGAGAUCAUACACAAGAGAGUGGCUUACACCAGGCAUGCUUAGUACGGCUGAAAAAUAAGGUGGAGAAGAGGAGGAAAAUAAUCUGCAAAAGGGAAGGAUGACUACCUGGUUUGCAGGUGUGAACCAGUUUUUGACCAUUGCCUUUGACUCCUGGUAGCUAAAUACAGAGUGACCACCCACUGAUAGAAAGGAAUG